RNAcentral lists this ribosomal RNA (433 nucleotides) under uncultured bacterium. RNAcentral describes it as "bacterial SSU rRNA". It matches the Rfam family "Bacterial small subunit ribosomal RNA", at positions 29 to 506 of the family's 1533-position model. The record is from RNAcentral.
GCGAACGCUGGCGGCAGGCUUAACACAUGCAAGUCGAACGGCCGUAGCAAUACGGCAGUGGCAGACGGGUGAGUAACACGUGGGAAUGUACCUUUCGGUUCGGAACAACUCCGGGAAACUGGAGCUAAUACCGGAUACGCCCUUACGGGGAAAGAUUUAUCGCCGAGAGAUCAGCCCGCGUCCGAUUAGCUAGUUGGUGGGGUAAUGGCCCACCAAGGCUCCGAUCGGUAGCUGGUCUGAGAGGAUGAUCAGCCACACUGGGACUGAGACACGGCCCAGACUCCUACGGGAGGCAGCAGUGGGGAAUAUUGGACAAUGGGCGCAAGCCUGAUCCAGCCAUGCCGCGUGAGUGAUGAAGGCCCUAGGGUUGUAAAGCUCUUUCAGCGGGGAAGAUAAUGACGGUACCCGCAGAAGAAGCCCCGGCUAACUUCGU